UACGAAGGGUGCAAACGUUGCUCGGAAUUAUUGGGCGUAAAGCGCACGUAGGCGGCUUAGCAAGUCGGAAGUGAAAUCCCUCGGCUCAACCAAGGAAGUGCUUUCGAAACUGCUGAGCUUGAGUACUUAAGAGGAUCGCGGAAUUCCCGGUGUAGAGGUGAAAUUCGUAGAUAUCGGGAGGAACACCAGUGGCGAAGGCGGCUUGCUGGGCCGGACCUGACGCUGAGACGCGAAGGCGUGGGGAGCGAACGGG
RNAcentral lists this ribosomal RNA (253 nucleotides) under uncultured bacterium. RNAcentral's name for it is "partial 16S ribosomal RNA". It matches the Rfam family "Bacterial small subunit ribosomal RNA", at positions 524 to 776 of the family's 1533-position model. The record is from RNAcentral.